Long non-coding RNA from Talpa occidentalis (Iberian mole), 2809 nucleotides. RefSeq lists it as uncharacterized. Lineage: Eukaryota; Metazoa; Chordata; Mammalia; Eulipotyphla; Talpidae. The transcript is spliced from 4 exons. The record is from RefSeq and is a predicted model, not a curated record.
UUAGGGGACCUGGACCUGGGAGAGUUAGUGCCCAAGAGGUCUUGCUUUCAGGAUGGACCUUAAAUCAAUGUCCUUGAAGGACCGAAAGCAAACUCUCAAGGAUGGCAGCUCACCCAUUGCCUUAGGGUACUGUGGGGGCUGUGAGGGUGCCUGAUCAGGUAUAGAAUCCUGGGUGCCAGCUCUCAGGACUGCGUCUGGAAGGCAGCGGGAGACCAAGGGAUGGAUUCAGCCAGCCCACUUUCACUUACCUGCUGCCCCUGUUCUCUUCCCACCUGCCGUUUCUGCUCUUCAUCAGCCUUAUUUCCUAUUAGGAUCUUCUGGACACCUUCUGGUGCGUACUAGGGACAGGACAAAGAACGGACAGUGAGUGCUAACUUUCCCUCCCACCUCCCCACCAUGCAGUCUCCACUGGCCUCCACCCCAGCACCCAGCUUUAGAGCCUAGAGAUGGAGAAGGUACAGGUGCUCCCAAGCCCACAGCUGACCCCAGGAAUGCCAGAGUGGUGUCACAGGGACAGUUUAGGGUAGAAUACACUGGGUCCUACCAAUGUGUCCUUGGACAAGUGGUAUCUGGGCCAGUGAGGAAGACAUUGGAUUCAAGUCCAAGCCCUCACUCUACAGAUGAGGACUGGGAACCAGAGUUCCUAUGGCUUGCCCAACGCUCCACAACUAUUGUGACAGAACCAGGACUAGAACCCCAGUCUCAAAAUUCCACCAGAUCUUGAGAUUUCAGCAAAGAAAUUAUUCUGACCUAAUCAUCCCUGGGAAAGAAACAGUCAUGUAGGCAAAGCAGCUUCCGCUUCUUCCCCACGUCCUACUUACCCAGAGGUCUCCAUCAGGGCUGUGGAAGGCAAGGUUUCCUGCCAGCAUUUUCUUGCCAACCCUGAGAGCGUCGCCCUCCCCUCUGAAGUGCCCUUCCCCCCCCCCAAAGUGAGGCGGCAUCUCCUACCUCAUCCACAUCACUGACCCACUUCAUGAUGUGCUGGGCAAGGUUAUCAUCACCCUUAUCUAGCAGCAGAGGGGCUGUGAAGUCUGUGGAUAGAAGGAAACAGACCACAUCCAGGGGAAAGGACACCCGACGAAAACCCUGGAAUUCUGGAGGAAGUGCAGCUCGAGGAACAGAGGCAUGGCCAUUAAGAACACAGUGUACGGCCAGAGAGUCAAGUGAGGGGGAGACUAGGAGAAUGAUACAGAGGGAGAACAAGUGACAGAGCUCAAGAGAAGGCUGAAGUCAGAGGCUCCAGGCGCACAAAUGUCCCUCUGCCAAUGAGGUGAGGGGACGGGAGAGAGGCCUUUGCCCUAAGCCUGCCACUUGCUGCAUCCCUCUUCCUUCUUUCCAUCUCGGGACUCUCGGGCCCACUGGCCUUGGACCACAUGCCACCGGCUUCUCUUCUCACCAGCUGCAGGCUGUCCCUCGUGCUGGCCUCACCCAGGGGCAGGGUGCGCCGGGGCUCUCUGAGCUAAUGCACCAGUCCGCAUGCGCACAGCUCACUCUGGAGUGACAGAGCAGGGAUAAAGAGGCAGCCCUGGUGUUGGCAGACAGAAUCCUGACCCUCUAACUCCAAAGCCAUAUUUUAACAUAGAGGGCAGUUAGGUCAAAAACACUGAUUCAGAUGCCCACUCAAAAGAGAGACUGAUGAUUUCAGAAUCAUACUCUAGCCCACCUUUUUUUUAGAUACAGACGCAUGCGCACACACCAUACUAGCACAGAAGGAGAGUAACAUGCAGGGUCCAGGGCAGCUCUGGAGGCUAAGCCUGCCACUUGCUGCAUCCCUCUUCCUUCCUUCAUUCUAGGGACUCUCGGGCCCAUGACCAUGUGAAAUGUUGAAGGGUCAUCUUUGACCCAGGCACACAAGGGCUGUUUGCAUGUAGGUGGGUUUCCCAAUUAAAUAACAACGCCUGUGAGGCUGGGAACCAUAAGGCUGCGAACCCCAGGGUCUGAGCCCUAGGCUCUCCCUACUCAAGAGCAUGAGGUGGUCUCCAGAGGUCACUAAAGCAGCCUGGCUGGCUGAUGAGGGUCAUCUGACACCUGCGGUGACCCUGAGCAAUAGACAAUGCUAACAGGCUAAGACGCUGACCCCUCGUCUCUGCAUUUGCCAAUGAGGACCUUACGCAGGGAUCACACUCCCUUCGACAUCUGGGCUUCUGUCACGUGCAUCUGAGCAGACCCGCAAACUACUGGAAACUGUUCACCCCGGCAGGGCUCUGCUCCCUUUACACAGCCCCAAGCAUGUGUCUACAAGCCUCUUCCCAGUCAAGGCCAUGUUGACAGAUCAGAAGUUUCCAGGAGGAAGAGACUGGGCUGGGAGCCUCAGGAGCAAACAUGUUGGGGAGGUGGGAGAGACCCAGUUUCCAGAUGCAUCUGUCUUUACAUAGCCCACAAAAACAAACUCCUACAAGGAUCGGAUUGACUCAAAUUGGUAAGACCAUAACCAGGCCACUAUCAACUGACCCUGCCAGGGAGAAGAGUGACAGACCCCAAACCUGGAGGUGUUUUCUAUAGCACCUCCUUCCCCAUCUCUCCUCCCCUGGGGGCCCUAUUUAGUCCUCAAGGCCCAGUCAAAUGUAACUUCCUUAGUGAAGCCUUCACCAACCUCCCCAGAGGGAAUGUGUCACUCCUCUGUGAUCCCAAAGUUUUCUGAGAUGGCUUUUGCAUGAUAUUCUGAUGGCCUGUUUGGAUGUCUGCCUCCCCUACUGCCCCCGAGCCUCCCAGAGGGCAAAACACCACCUUAUUCAUUUCAUAGUCUCAUCACCUGGCAAAGGUACUCAUUACAUGUAAUAUCAUUAAACAAAAUUGAAUAAAUGAAUGA